Long non-coding RNA from Astatotilapia calliptera (eastern happy), 603 nucleotides. The record is from Ensembl. NCBI's taxonomy places the organism in Eukaryota, Metazoa, Chordata, Actinopteri, Cichliformes, Cichlidae.
GUGUGAGCCUGGUUGCUAUAGUGACUGCACCCAAUGGCUCCAUACACACGUACACAGACAUGCGCCUCACUUUUGCUGCUUAAAAUGAACAGAAAAGUCAGGCCGAAACAAAUCGCUCCCAAAUGAAAAGUAAAAGUCGUAUUGACAAAAUUCUUUCACCGUGAGUGACAGCAAUGUCUAGUCUACUGAAUUCUCAGUUUUCAUGCCUGUGGACUUAUUAUAUGGACGUGGUGACAGUGGAAAGACACCAUGCUCUUCUGAUUUUCAAAAGAACCUUCUGAGCCAUUUUAACAUUAGAGUCUAUGGAAGAGUUGGAGGGAGGAGGCUGUGCAUUGGUGACAUUUAUGAAAGAACCAUAACACCUAGGACAAUAGUAAACACAUUGGAUGAAAGAGGACAGCGAUGGCUACGUUUUGAGGGUAAAAUGGUGGCUGUAGAGCAAACGCUGUGGACACAGCAGCAUUUUAAAAAAGAUUUUAAGAUUAAUUUUUUUGCUCCUCUCACUCUAGCAGUUGAGCUCUCUCACUCUAGCCCCAACAUUCCGUCCCAUACACACCCAUUAUAAACUCUGAAACGGGUGAAAAAACAUCAUGAAACUUAAAC